Lonchura striata (white-rumped munia) is the source of this 1043-nucleotide long non-coding RNA. NCBI's taxonomy places the organism in Eukaryota, Metazoa, Chordata, Aves, Passeriformes, Estrildidae. The record is from Ensembl.
CUCGUUUUGAAGGGUUUAAAUGGAGAGGUUCCUUUUUUAGGGGUUUCAUCGAGGGACCUUCAAAGGGGGAAAAUCGUCCAAAAUCCCCCAAAAUGGCGAUUUCCGAGGGAAAACCAAAGGGGGAAAGGGGAGCACUGUGGGGGGAUGAAACUGGAGGGGAAAUGCCGAUUUCCCGGGAUCGGAGGGGUUCAGAUUGAGGUUAAAACUUCCUUUUUUGGGGUUAUUGCAGGGGGUUCGGGAGGGGGAGAAGGAGAGAAGCCCUUUGUCCGUCGUGGAGGGACAGGGGGACAGAGAGGGGACAGAGGGACAGAAGGACAGAGAGGGGACAGAGGGACAGAAGGACAGAGAGGGGACAGGGAGACAGAGAAGGGACAGGGGGACAGAGGGACAGAGAGGGGACAGAAGGACAGGGGGGACAGAGGGACAGAGAAGGGACAGAGGGACACCAGGACACGGGGACAGAGGGACAGAGAGGAGACAGGGAGACAGAGAAGGGACAGGGGGACAGAGGGACAGAGAGGGGACAGAAAGACAGGGGGACAGAGGGACACGGGGACAGGGGGACAGAAGGACAGGGGGACAGCAGGACAGAGGGGACAGAAGGACACGGGGACAGCAGGACAGAGGGACACGGGGACAGCAGGACAGGGAGACAGACGGACAGAGAAGGGACAGAGGGACACCAGGACACGGGGACAGAGGGACAGAGAGGGGACAGACGGACACAGGGACAGGAGGACAGAGGGGACAGAGAGGGGACAGAGGGACAGGGGGACACGGGGACAGCAGGACAGGGGGACAGACGGACAGAGAGAGGACAGACGGACAGAGAGGGGACAGAGGGACAGGGGGACACGGGGACAGCAGGACAGGGGGACAGACGGACNCAGGGGGACAGACGGACAGAGAGAGGACAGACGGACAGAGAGGGGACAGAGGGACAGGGGGACACGGGGACAGCAGGACAGGGGGACAGACGGACGCGGCAGGCACGCCCGGGCAGCCCCGGGGACACCGGGAGCUCCCGGUCCCGGGGACACGCG